CAUUUCUGUUAACCAACACUAAGGACAAAACAGUGACCCUGAAGUGUGCGUCUUCACAGUAAAAGGAUUAGAACAGAGGAUGGCUGAAAUCGUUCACACUGGGAUUAGACUGCUGCUGCUGCUGUUAAAUUUAUCUACAACAAGUGUUAGUGGAGAAGAUGGCCUGAUUUUUCCCGGACCCCGUUACAAGAUCAUAUAUCCAUGUGAACAAGAUGUGGUUUGCUUUCAUGUUUGGCAGUUCAGCUCAGAGGAAACACAUGAUUACAUCGCCAUAGUCAGUAAAGGAGAAAUCCAGACAGAUCCAACAUUAGAGGACAAAGACUCACAAUGCACUUUGCAGAUCAAUGAUCCCACAGCAGAGGAUGUUGGACGUCAUCACUGCAAACGAAGGCUGAACAUCUUAUCUCCUUACACGACACUCUCAGCAGGCCCACAGGUAAACCUCACACCUGGUAAAGCAGCAUCCCUGCAGUGUAUCCUCCUCACUUACGUACAGCAGGGACGCUGCUACACACAGCUGCUACAACAACAUGUCAGCCUGAUGUGGGUGGAUGAAGCCGGUGAUGAGAUACAAAAGACUCUCAGCACCAGAUAAAACAGGAGUCUGAAUGUGAUACAACCCUCACUGUCACUUUUCAAAGUCCCGUAAAAAAGACGUUCAGGUGCCAGGCGACUGUGGGAAAUCAAUCCCUAACUUCAGUGGAGUUUUGUGUCAGAGUCCCAGAUCCUAAAGGAAAAGGAAGAGGAUACAUGAAAGACCUAGAACCUCAAAGUCCAGGCGGCAGCCAGGACACAGUCGGCCUCACUGUGGGGUUGGUUGGAUGUGCCGUUUUGUCAGUGCUUGUAGCAGUGUACGUUGUGCACAAAAGAAGAAGAAGCCAGCAGCUGCCUGAGGAGUCUUGUUACACACAUAGUACAAACAAUGUUGUAAAUGAAGAUGAUGUGGUCUAUGCUGAAAUCAUGCUUCCUGUUGCUUCUGAGAGAGUUUUUGUCCAUGAGUGUGAGUCCACUGAGUACGCUUGUGUCCAAUAUAAAUAGUUUGCUUUACCAAAUGAAAAUGACACUGUAAUGAUUUAGUUCUCCAUGUGUGCUCCAACUGUGUGCAAUGUUUUAUAAUUAUGUCAUCUGCUCCAUUUAAAACCCCAUUCCUGUAGCUGUUGUUGAAACUUAAGGUCCUAACAGGUAUUAUGCUCUCUGACUUGUUUCUACCAUUUUACAUUUCAAACAAAAAUGUAUCAAGUGUUUUUAUAGUCUACCUCAGUCCAUUGUGUAUUUACUGAAAUCAGCAGUGAUGCUCAUUUAUGAUUUUUUUUCAAACCUGUACAAUUUCUUAAGAUAUGCACUGCUUUCAUAAAAUAUAAUAAAGCAGAAGUUGUUGAGAGAA
Labrus bergylta (ballan wrasse) is the source of this 1384-nucleotide non-coding RNA. The record is from RefSeq and is a predicted model, not a curated record. NCBI's taxonomy places the organism in Eukaryota, Metazoa, Chordata, Actinopteri, Labriformes, Labridae.